Molecule: ribosomal RNA, 253 nt
Filed under: uncultured bacterium
Lineage: Bacteria
Description: partial 16S ribosomal RNA
Rfam family: Bacterial small subunit ribosomal RNA
Source: RNAcentral
UACGUAGGGGGCUAGCGUUGUCCGGAAUCAUUGGGCGUAAAGCGCGUGUAGGCGGUCCGGUAAGUCCGCUGUGAAAGCCGGGGGCUCAACCCUCGGAUGCCGGUGGAUACUGUCGGGCUUGAGUGCGGAAGAGGCGAGUGGAAUUCCUGGUGUAGCGGUGAAAUGCGCAGAUAUCAGGAGGAACACCAAUUGCGAAGGCAGCUCGCUGGGACGUUACUGACGCUGAGACGCGAAAGCGUGGGGAGCAAACAGG